RNAcentral lists this ribosomal RNA (420 nucleotides) under uncultured bacterium. RNAcentral's name for it is "bacterial SSU rRNA". It matches the Rfam family "Bacterial small subunit ribosomal RNA", at positions 356 to 773 of the family's 1533-position model. The record is from RNAcentral.
GAGGAAUAUUGCGCAAUGGAGGCAACUCUGACGCAGCCAUGCCGCGUGCAGGAAGAAGGCGCUACGCGUUGUAAACUGCUUUUAUCCGGGAAGAAACCCCAGGACGUGUCCUGGGUUGACGGUACCGGAGGAAUAAGCACCGGCUAACUUCGUGCCAGCAGCCGCGGUAAUACGAAGGGUGCAAGCGUUAUCCGGAUUCAUUGGGUUUAAAGGGUGCGUAGGUGGGGCGAUAAGUCAGCGGUGAAAUCCUGCAGCUCAACUGCAGAAUUGCCGUUGAUACUGUCGCUCUUGAGUACGCUUGACGUGGGCGGAAUGUGCCGUGUAGCGGUGAAAUGCUUAGAUAUGGCACAGAACACCGAUAGUGAAGACAGCUCACGAAGGCGAAACUGACACUGAGGCACGAAAGCGUGGGGAUCGAAC